RNAcentral lists this ribosomal RNA (846 nucleotides) under Bacillus sp. 7-2. Its description in RNAcentral is "bacterial SSU rRNA". It matches the Rfam family "Bacterial small subunit ribosomal RNA", at positions 8 to 836 of the family's 1533-position model. The record is from RNAcentral. Lineage: Bacteria; Bacillati; Bacillota; Bacilli; Caryophanales; Bacillaceae.
AGAGUUUGAUCAUGGCUCAGGACGAACGCUGGCGGCGUGCCUAAUACAUGCAAGUCGAGCGGACAGAUGGGAGCUUGCUCCCUGAUGUUAGCGGCGGACGGGUGAGUAACACGUGGGUAACCUGCCUGUAAGACUGGGAUAACUCCGGGAAACCGGGGCUAAUACCGGAUGGUUGUUUGAACCGCAUGGUUCAAACAUAAAAGGUGGCUUCGGCUACCACUUACAGAUGGACCCGCGGCGCAUUAGCUAGUUGGUGAGGUAACGGCUCACCAAGGCGACGAUGCGUAGCCGACCUGAGAGGGUGAUCGGCCACACUGGGACUGAGACACGGCCCAGACUCCUACGGGAGGCAGCAGUAGGGAAUCUUCCGCAAUGGACGAAAGUCUGACGGAGCAACGCCGCGUGAGUGAUGAAGGUUUUCGGAUCGUAAAGCUCUGUUGUUAGGGAAGAACAAGUACCGUUCGAAUAGGGCGGUACCUUGACGGUACCUAACCAGAAAGCCACGGCUAACUACGUGCCAGCAGCCGCGGUAAUACGUAGGUGGCAAGCGUUGUCCGGAAUUAUUGGGCGUAAAGGGCUCGCAGGCGGUUUCUUAAGUCUGAUGUGAAAGCCCCCGGCUCAACCGGGGAGGGUCAUUGGAAACUGGGGAACUUGAGUGCAGAAGAGGAGAGUGGAAUUCCACGUGUAGCGGUGAAAUGCGUAGAGAUGUGGAGGAACACCAGUGGCGAAGGCGACUCUCUGGUCUGUAACUGACGCUGAGGAGCGAAAGCGUGGGGAGCGAACAGGAUUAGAUACCCUGGUAGUCCACGCCGUAAACGAUGAGUGCUAAGUGUUAGGGGGUUUCCG